Molecule: ribosomal RNA, 427 nt
Filed under: uncultured bacterium
Lineage: Bacteria
Description: partial 16S ribosomal RNA
Rfam family: Bacterial small subunit ribosomal RNA
Source: RNAcentral
UGGGGAAUAUUGGACAAUGGGCGAAAGCCUGAUCCAGCCAUGCCGCGUGUGUGAAGAAGGUCUUCGGAUUGUAAAGCACUUUACGUUGGGAGGAAGGGCAUUAACCUAAUACGUUAGUGUUUUGACGUUACCGACAGAAUAAGCACCGGCUAACUCUGUGCCAGCAGCCGCGGUAAUACAGAGGGUGCAAGCGUUACUCGGAAUUACUGGGCGUAAAGCGCGCGUAGGUGGUUUGUUAAGUUGGAUGUGAAAUCCCCGGGCUCAACCUGGGAACUGCAUUCAAAACUGACUGACUAGAGUAUGGUAGAGGGUGGUGGAAUUUCCUGUGUAGCGGUGAAAUGCGUAGAUAUAGGAAGGAACACCAGUGGCGAAGGCGACCACCUGGACUAAUACUGACACUGAGGUGCGAAAGCGUGGGGAGCAAACA